UGGAAACUNUCUGACUUGAGUGCAGAAGGGGAGAGUGGAAUUCCAUGUGUAGCGGUGAGAUGCGUAGAUAUAUGGAGGAACACCAGUGGCGAAAGCAGCUCUCUGGUCUGUCACUGACGCUGAGGCUCGAAAGCGUGGGUAGCGAACAGGAUUAGAUACCCUGGUAGUCCACGCCGUAAACGAUGAGUGCUAGGUGUUAGGCCCUUUCCGGGGCUUAGUGCCGGAGCUAACGCAAUAAGCACUCCGCCUGGGGAGUACGACCGCAAGGUUGAAACUCAAAGGAAUUGACGGGGGCCCGCACAAGCGGUGGAGCAUGUGGUUUAAUUCGAAGCAACGCGAAGAACCUUACCAGGUCUUGACAUCCCGAUGCUAUUCUUAGAGAUAGGAAGUUACUUCGGUACAUCGGAGACAGGUGGUGCAUGGUUGUCGUCAGCUCGUGUCGUGAGAUGUUGGGUUAAGUCCCGCAACGAGCACAACCCUUAUUGUUAGUUGCCAUCAUUAAGUUGGGCACUCUAGCGAGACUGCCGGUAAUAAACCGGAGGAAGGUGGGGAUGACGUCAAAUCAUCAUGCCCCUUAUGACCUGGGCUACACACGUGCUACAAUGGUCGGUACAACGAGUUGCGAGCCGGUGACGGCAAGCUAAUCUCUGAAAGCCGAUCUCAGUUCGGAUUGGAGGCUGCAACACGCCUCCAUGAAGUCGGAAUCGCUAGUAAUCGCGGAUCAGCACGCCGCGGUGAAUACGUUCCCGGGCCUUGUACACACCGCCCGUCACACCACGAGAGUUUGUAACACCCGAAGUCGGUGAGGUAACCUUCU
RNAcentral lists this ribosomal RNA (817 nucleotides) under uncultured bacterium. Its description in RNAcentral is "bacterial SSU rRNA". It matches the Rfam family "Bacterial small subunit ribosomal RNA", at positions 627 to 1444 of the family's 1533-position model. The record is from RNAcentral.